RNAcentral lists this transfer RNA (65 nucleotides) under Perisphaerus sp. 3 ZQW-2023b. RNAcentral's name for it is "tRNA-Leu". Lineage: Eukaryota; Metazoa; Arthropoda; Insecta; Blattodea; Blaberidae. The record is from RNAcentral.
ACUAUUUUGGCAGAGUAAAGUGUAAUAGAUUUAGAAUCUAAGUAUGUAAUUUUUUACAAAUAGUA